This 121-nucleotide ribosomal RNA is filed under the name Bison bison bison. The record is from RNAcentral. Lineage: Eukaryota; Metazoa; Chordata; Mammalia; Artiodactyla; Bovidae.
GUCUAGGGCCACACCACCCUGAACGCGCCUGAUCUCGUCUGAUCUUGAAAGCAAAGCAGGGGUUGGGCUUGGUUAGUACUUGGAUGAAGAAGUGGGUGAGGAUAUCUCAUUAUUUUUUUCC